RNAcentral lists this transfer RNA (231 nucleotides) under Saccharomyces cerevisiae YJM1252. Its description in RNAcentral is "partial tRNA-Ser". The record is from RNAcentral. Lineage: Eukaryota; Fungi; Ascomycota; Saccharomycetes; Saccharomycetales; Saccharomycetaceae.
AACCAGUUGUCAAAACAGUUUAUCAGAUUAAUUCACGGAAUGUUACUUAUCUUAUAUAUUAUAUAAAAUAUGAAUCAUACUAAGUGGUGGAAGCGCGGAAUCUCGGAUCUAAACUAAUUGUUCAGGCAUUUAUACUUUUGGUAGUUCAGCUAGGGAAGGACGGGUUUUAUCUCAUGUUGUUCGUUUUGUUAUAAGGUUGUUUCAUAUGUGUUUUAUGAACGUUUAGGAUGA